RNAcentral lists this ribosomal RNA (300 nucleotides) under Canthon sp. 1 FCO-2006. RNAcentral describes it as "eukaryotic LSU rRNA". It matches the Rfam family "Eukaryotic large subunit ribosomal RNA", at positions 700 to 964 of the family's 3401-position model. Lineage: Eukaryota; Metazoa; Arthropoda; Insecta; Coleoptera; Scarabaeidae. The record is from RNAcentral.
ACUAAUGAUAAACCUAAAGGCGCAAUGAAAGUAAAGGUCCGCCUCGCGCGGACCGAGGGAGGAUGGGCCCGUCCACGGGCGGGCCCCGCACUCCCGGGGCGUCUCGUUCUCAUCGCGAGAUGAGGCGCACCCAGAGCGUACACGCUGGGACCCGAAAGAUGGUGAACUAUGCCUGGUCAGGACGAAGUCAGGGGAAACCCUGAUGGAGGUCCGUAGCGAUUCUGACGUGCAAAUCGAUCGUCGGAACUGGGUAUAGGGGCGAAAGACUAAUCGAACCUUCUAGUAGCUGGUUCCUUCCGA